Molecule: ribosomal RNA, 1343 nt
Filed under: uncultured bacterium
Lineage: Bacteria
Description: 16S ribosomal RNA
Rfam family: Bacterial small subunit ribosomal RNA
Source: RNAcentral
GACGAACGCUGGCGGCGUGCUUAACACAUGCAAGUCGAACGGAAAGGCCCUGCUUUUGUGGGGUGCUCGAGUGGCGAACGGGUGAGUAACACGUGAGUAACCUGCCCUUGACUUUGGGAUAACUUCAGGAAACUGGGGCUAAUACCGGAUAGGAGCUCCUGCUGCAUGGUGGGGGUUGGAAAGUUUCGGCGGUUGGGGAUGGACUCGCGGCUUAUCAGCUUGUUGGUGGGGUAGUGGCUUACCAAGGCUUUGACGGGUAGCCGGCCUGAGAGGGUGACCGGCCACAUUGGGACUGAGAUACGGCCCAGACUCCUACGGGAGGCAGCAGUGGGGAAUAUUGCACAAUGGGCGGAAGCCUGAUGCAGCAACGCCGCGUGCGGGAUGACGGCCUUCGGGUUGUAAACCGCUUUCGCCUGUGACGAAGCGUGAGUGACGGUAAUGGGUAAAGAAGCACCGGCUAACUACGUGCCAGCAGCCGCGGUGAUACGUAGGGUGCGAGCGUUGUCCGGAUUUAUUGGGCGUAAAGGGCUCGUAGGUGGUUGAUCGCGUCGGAAGUGUAAUCUUGGGGCUUAACCCUGAGCGUGCUUUCGAUACGGGUUGACUUGAGGAAGGUAGGGGAGAAUGGAAUUCCUGGUGGAGCGGUGGAAUGCGCAGAUAUCAGGAGGAACACCAGUGGCGAAGGCGGUUCUCUGGGCCUUUCCCGACGCUGAGGAGCGAAAGCGUGGGGAGCGAACAGGCUUAGAUACCCUGGUAGUCCACGCUGUAAACGGUGGGUACUAGGUGUGGGGUCCAUUCCACGGGUUCCGUGCCGUAGCUAACGCUUUAAGUACCCCGCCUGGGGAGUACGGCCGCAAGGCUAAAACUCAAAGGAAUUGACGGGGCCCCGCACAAGCGGCGGAGCAUGCGGAUUAAUUCGAUGCAACGCGUAGAACCUUACCUGGGUUUGACAUGGAUCGGGAGUGCUCAGAGAUGGGUGUGCCUCUUUUGGGGUCGGUUCACAGGUGGUGCAUGGCUGUCGUCAGCUCGUGUCGUGAGAUGUUGGGUUAAGUCCCGCAACGAGCGCAACCCUUGUUCACUGUUGCCAGCACGUUAUGGUGGGGACUCAGUGGAGACCGCCGGGGUCAACUCGGAGGAAGGUGGGGAUGACGUCAAGUCAUCAUGCCCCUUAUGUCCAGGGCUUCACGCAUGCUACAAUGGCUGGUACAGAGAGUGGCGAGCCUGUGAGGGUGAGCGAAUCUCGGAAAGCCGGUCUCAGUUCGGAUUGGGGUCCGCAACUCGACCUCAUGAAGUCGGAGUCGCUAGUAAUCGCAGAUCAGCAACGCUGCGGUGAAUACGUUCCCGGG